This 628-nucleotide small RNA is filed under the name Drosophila mojavensis. Its description in RNAcentral is "GI26188". Lineage: Eukaryota; Metazoa; Arthropoda; Insecta; Diptera; Drosophilidae. The record is from RNAcentral.
CAGCGCACAAGCAGUCACAUUGUGGAUGCUAAAAAGCAGUGCACGCUGAAUGCAAGCAGAGCAUAACCGCCUAUGUGGAUUGUGCGCAUAAAUUGAAAAAUCGCUGUCUUUCCUCUAGUAAUGCAAUUAAACAAGGAAAUGAUGAAUCCAUAGCUCACUCAGUGCUGUUAGCUUUGUGUACUUAAAGCAAACACACGGAGGAACACUUGCCGAAAAUCAAUCAAACGACGAGCGAACGCAAUAUGGCUCAAAUUUCAUAACAUUGGCUUAAAGAACGCUUUAAAUAUUGCUUACAAAAUACUCUCAAUGUUAAUGCACAAGCAAAGCAAUGCUGAGCAAACAAUUGAAGUGCUUUUUGAUAAACCAUUAAAGCGAAUCGAAUACCAACAAAAUCGACAACAGAGCUGACAGCGAGGAAGACGAGCCAAUGUCUCCUGCCGAGUGGUGGUGAUAAUCGCAUCAGCAGUGCCAACAAAAAAAUGAGCUCUGCCAUUCAGUGAAUGUGCUGGGACAAAGGCGAACGCGUGGCAAGCAUCAUUAUACUAAUUACUCGAGUAUUAUUGAAAUGCAUUCAAUUGAAAGCAUUAUAACGAGCAUUCCCCGCACUCAACCCUCAACCCUCCAACCA